AUUCUAACCCUUUCUUAGAACUCUCCUUUACAUUGUUUCCCGAUCGAAAUGUAGGACCAGAGUCAGAUCACACCAGCUCGUUUUAAUCUUAAAUGGAUAUUGCAUGUAAUGUCAACCCUUACAGUAACCCGAAACAACGCUAAUUAAACGGGAUAUGCACCGAGGGCUCAACUGGCGGCGCAUUGGAUGUAGGAAGCGGUCGUAUUUCCCCCCUGCUGCAGAAGGUAGAGGUUACAAAUCUGUGGGAACGUCUCAGAGGAAAGAGGGGGCGGGAGGAAAGGGAAGGGGUACGGGAGAAAGGCAGGCAGCUAGGGUGUUUCCUUAACUUCAAGGAAGAGUUUAAUCAAGUUAAUAGCUUAUUGUGGGCUAUUAAAACGAUACACCACUGGGAAACCGUACGUUAUCAAAUUUUAAAAGACACAAACAACUGAAGGAGACCGCGAUGUUGGGAAUAGGAAAACUGCACCACGGUCUGGAAUAGGGUGAAGGAUGGAGGGAGAGACGGAGAAAGAGACAGCGGAGGAGAAGGAGAGUGAUGAGACACAGCCGUUUGCUGGGGAAGGGGCAGGGCGACUUCAUCAGAAUGGAGAGUCCUCCGAGGACGACCAGGACCUACCCAUCAUGCACUGGGAAGACCUGAGCCUGAGGAUCGCUGAACUGGAGAAACAGGAGGAGGCGAGGAGAGAAAGGGCAAAGAGUACGAGUGGGUCGGAACAGGGGAGUGUGUCAGGGGGCUGGGCGGAAGAGAGGCAGGGUGGGCUGUGGAGGAAAGAUGAAUGGGAGGAUGAGGAGGACUACGGAAGAUGUCGAGUCACGGUCGUCUCGUCUAGAUUCCACAACCAAAGAAAUCUACAGUUAUGCUACAUCAACAACAGUGAGAGUGAGGAUGAAGAGGGGGCUGUCAAAGAGGGUUCUAUAGGACCAGGUAGCUAUGGUUACCACCCCUCUGGCCUGAAGUUGGAAGUGAGGGCCGCACUGAGCGCGCUCAAAAACAAGCUGUUAGCUGAACAGAAAGAGGAGUUUAAGCCAUUUGUGAUGUUUGAAACAUCUCUAAUAUCUGACUCCUAGUCUAUUGCCGGUGGUAAGAAAAAUUGUAUUUAUCUUGGGAGAACCUUCAGACGGAGAAUCUUCACAGCCAUAGUUAAAACAUUUACAUAUCUGAGGAAUACCAGCUUUUCCACAAGUUUUAUUGUGUAAACAUUGCAAUAUCCAUGACUUAUUAAUAUAAGGGAAUUGUACACUUACAGCCUGUGUAAAACAAGCUAAGGGGUUUCAUAUUCAGGCUAAAGGGAACUGUCCUGUAACAAUUUGGUAGAGAAGGUUCUUUGUUUCUAAUUUAGGAUAAUUAUCCUCUUGUAUAGUUGCUGAUGUAAGAGAAUUGUCCACUUAUAUUGCCUAUAAGCCUGUGGGUAUUGACAUUUAUGUUGACUCUUGUGAUAUACCUAGGUGGUUUGCGGCCAUAACUAUAACUACCACCAGCAUAGGAAACCACAAAGCUGCUAUUGGGUGAUUCCAUGUGAGCAAAGCCCAAAAAUAAUUUUGUAUCGCAGAUUGUUCUGGCAAUUAUCACAUAGAAACGUCAUUGGGAAGAUGGAUGUUUGAUAGGCUUUUUACAUUUGUAACACACCAUUUUUUGGAAAAUGAUUAAAGUGGGCUCUCUGCUACUUUUAGUUAUAAACAAUUUUAUGAGCAUCAUCAACACAGUGAAUAGAAAAAUGGAUUCAAAUGGAACUUUGAUAGGUCCUUCCUUAACCAAUAUCAAUUUCUAUGUAUUCUUCAAAAUUAGCAGAGCCCACCUUCGAAAUAUGUGUUUGAAGAGUAUAUUGUUCUAAACAAGAUGUCUAAAAAUAAUCAAAAUCAAAAAGGGUACUUUUGAGAUGUUCAUAAUGUUUUUAAUAUUGAAUAAAUUAAUGCGAUUUUUUUUUUUUUACAUUUUUUUUUUUAGAAUACAGCCAUACUCCAUAUUUUAAAGCAUACUAUAAGGAGUAUAAUGACACCAAGAUGUCUGUACGGUUCACGGAUUAUAUGGUCUAAAAGAGCCUAAAAUGGCCACAUUCAUCAUGAUUUUCCCCAAAAAUUGUUUGUGAUACAAAUGUAUCAAGCAUGUUAAACAUCCUUCCUCUCAAUUAAGUUUGUAUGUGAGAAUUGCCAGAGAAAUCUGAGAUACCCUAAAAAAAAAUUGGGCCAUGCUGGCGUGGAAUUGCCUUAUUCCAUUCAUUAUGUCUAGGUAAAGAGAUUUUCCUGACCAUGUGACCUCACCAGUAGCAAACACCAGGCUCUAGUUACUGACCCCCUCUUUCCUGUUCAAGUCAUAUGGUCAGGAAAAACUCCUGGCCAUUUGAACUAUUGUGCCUUGUCAAGCAAUUAUUAUAUAUCGUACUUUCACAAUCGUGUGUAUUUGUAGGUUGAUGGAAGAAUUAACUGUGAUAGCAGAUUCAUAGCUAUGGGAAAGGGAUGAGUGCUCUGAAGUAACAUUUAACUUUUUUGGUCUCUGAAGUAUUUUUUUCAGUAUUUACUUAAAAAAUAAUUUUGCAUUCAAUAAACCUUAGUUAUUUCAUGUUG
This 2562-nucleotide long non-coding RNA is filed under the name Salmo salar (Atlantic salmon). Its description in RNAcentral is "lncRNA (ENSSSAG00000040448.2)". The record is from RNAcentral. Lineage: Eukaryota; Metazoa; Chordata; Actinopteri; Salmoniformes; Salmonidae.